This 404-nucleotide ribosomal RNA is filed under the name Fusobacteriota bacterium. Its description in RNAcentral is "Fusobacteria bacterium partial 16S ribosomal RNA". It matches the Rfam family "Bacterial small subunit ribosomal RNA", at positions 355 to 776 of the family's 1533-position model. Lineage: Bacteria; Fusobacteriati; Fusobacteriota. The record is from RNAcentral.
UGGGGGAUAUUGCACAAUGGGCGAAAGCCUGAUGCAGCGACGCCGCGUGAGUGAAGAAGUAUUUCGGUAUGUAAAGCUCUAUCAGCAGGGAAGAAAAUGACGGUACCUGACUAAGAAGCCCCGGCUAACUACGUGCCAGCAGCCGCGGUAAUACGUAGGGGGCAAGCGUUAUCCGGAUUUACUGGGUGUAAAGGGAGCGUAGACGGCGAAGCAAGUCUGAAGUGAAAACCCAGGGCUCAACCCUGGGACUGCUUUGGAAACUGUUUUGCUAGAGUGGCGGAGAGGUGAGUGGAAUUCCUAGUGUAGCGGUGAAAUGCGUAGAUAUUAGGAGGAACACCAGUGGCGAAGGCGGCUUACUGGACGAUAACUGACGUUGAGGCUCGAGAGCGUGGGGAGCAAACAGG